Molecule: ribosomal RNA, 512 nt
Filed under: uncultured bacterium
Lineage: Bacteria
Description: partial 16S ribosomal RNA
Rfam family: Bacterial small subunit ribosomal RNA
Source: RNAcentral
GACGAACGCUGGCGGCGUGCCUAAUACAUGCAAGUCGAGCGGAACUGGGGGAGCUUGCUCCUUCCAGUUUAGCGGCGGACGGGUGAGUAACACGUGGGCAACCUGCCCUGCAGAUCGGGAUAACUCCGGGAAACCGGUGCUAAUACCGAAUAGUUUGGCGCCUCUCCUGAGGCGCUACGGAAAGACGGUUUCGGCUGUCACUGCAGGAUGGGCCCGCGGCGCAUUAGCUAGUUGGUGGGGUAACGGCCCACCAAGGCGACGAUGCGUAGCCGACCUGAGAGGGUGACCGGCCACACUGGGACUGAGACACGGCCCAGACUCCUACGGGAGGCAGCAGUAGGGAAUCUUCCGCAAUGGACGCAAGUCUGACGGAGCAACGCCGCGUGAGUGACGAAGGUUUUCGGAUCGUAAAACUCUGUUGUGAGGGAAGAACACGUACCAACUAACUAUUGGUACCUUGACGGUACCUCGCCAGAAAGCCACGGCUAACUACGUGCCAGCCGCCGCAGUAA